UCCUUUGUCUCGGAUUCCUGUGGCCUUCCCACGGUCGAAGCCAACUCUCUGAGCCGCAGCUUGGUCAUGUAUGCCUGCAACAAGAAUGUGGAACUGGCCAUCCACUCCUCCUCGGUGCUCAUCACCAACAGCCAGAGCAAGGCAGCCUCCAGCACCCUGAUCCUCAGCAUCUUCACCCCCAAUGCGCUCAUGAUCGCCAUGCACGCAAACGGCUCCCUGAACCAGUGGGCGGUCAGCUUCGCCUGCCUUCUCAACCGUUCUGCCUUCUCAACCGUUCUUAGCGUGUCGCACAAGUAGCGCUACUGCGGCCACUGCUUCCACCUCAACAACCUGGCCUGCCACUCCCUGUUGCCCCUGCUCCUCACCACCUCGCACCACAAUGCCAUGCGCACCCCCGACGUGGACAGUGUCAUGGCCGCCCUCUCCCAGCCCAUCAGGGGCAGGCCCUGCCGGGUGUCCCUGGGUGCCAUGUCGAAGUACCCAAAUGCCAUUUACAGCAAGCUCAUCCUGUGGAAGGUGGACCCUGGUGGAGCCCUUGUCCUUCUCUGGAGGGGUAUCUGAGCUAGCCAGGAAAAACCUUCUCCACUCCUACGCCUUCUCCAACAGCCUGGCUGCCCACACUCAUCCCUAGCAACUGCCUUGGUGUCUACUGCAACUCACCCAGUGCCUGCUUCGUGGCCAGUGAUGGUCAUUGAAGCCAAGAAACUACUCAAUGAGCUCUACAACCCUGAGAUAUCAGGGAACGAGUCUUCUCCUGUCUGUCUUAAAGGCCUCCACAUUUGGAUUCAUUUGGGGGAAUGUUUCCGACAACCUUCAAGAAGCUGCUCUCCUCCUGACCAUAGGGCACUUUGAUCUGCCUCACAGGAUACUCUAAAGAUACUGAGAUAUGGAAACAUUAUUUAAAUCUAAUAAAUUAUCCUAAUAUAGAACAGGGACAGUCCAUGAUCUUUAAAUCAGUAAAAUAACCUUCAAUAAGUCUGUUUAAUCUCAAGACAGAUUCACACCUAGCUUACUUACAAAGCAAGCACUGUCCUCAUGCAUAUAGGGAAAAUGUACCUAUCCUGUUCAGCUGCAGGAUGUUAGGGUCAGCGAUGCUUCUCCCGGUUUGCCGCCUUUGGACUCCAGCAAUAUUCCAUCUCCUGAACGAUUGAAAUCUGACAUGUGCAAACGUUAUAAAAGUUACAAUAAUGACACUCAGCAUAGUCGACGCCGCCCAUACUCGCGCACCCCACGGUAACGUUAGCUGUUGCAAUCAUUAGCUAGCUAACGUUACUAGGUAGUUGUGCCGGUUAAUGUUGACUUUUGUCAGGUAUUACCUAACCUUCCAGAAUUAAUCCUACCUUUGAACCACCCGAUCCUCCUGGGGUGGUUGUAAAGGUGGUUUCACUUCGCUGGCAAAAUGUAAAAAGCAGUCAUGUUUUCAAGGUUCGACAUGACUUGGUCAUUUGUUGGUGAUGAUGAAUGAGAAGUUUUUCAUAUAGUGAUUGGCCAACAUUUGCAUAUAGUUUACAUAUUGUUAUUUGAUGUGUCAAAUAGUGUUAUUUGACAUGUAUCUUUUUGACACACAAUGAC
Non-coding RNA from Oncorhynchus mykiss (rainbow trout), 1572 nucleotides. The record is from RefSeq and is a predicted model, not a curated record. Lineage: Eukaryota; Metazoa; Chordata; Actinopteri; Salmoniformes; Salmonidae.